RNAcentral lists this ribosomal RNA (778 nucleotides) under Brevibacterium sp. 91. RNAcentral describes it as "bacterial SSU rRNA". It matches the Rfam family "Bacterial small subunit ribosomal RNA", at positions 87 to 877 of the family's 1533-position model. Lineage: Bacteria; Bacillati; Actinomycetota; Actinomycetes; Micrococcales; Brevibacteriaceae. The record is from RNAcentral.
AUGGAUGAGUGGCGAACGGGUGAGUAACACGUGAGUAACCUGCCCCUGACUUCGGGAUAAGCCCGGGAAACUGGGUCUAAUACCGGAUACGACCUGUCCUCGCAUGAGGGUGGGUGGAAAGUUUUUUCGGUUGGGGAUGGGCUCGCGGCCUAUCAGUUUGUUGGUGAGGUAAUGGCUCACCAAGACGACGACGGGUAGCCGGCCUGAGAGGGCGACCGGCCACACUGGGACUGAGACACGGCCCAGACUCCUACGGGAGGCAGCAGUGGGGAAUAUUGCACAAUGGGGGAAACCCUGAUGCAGCGACGCAGCGUGCGGGAUGACGGCCUUCGGGUUGUAAACCGCUUUCAGCAGGGAAGAAGCGAAAGUGACGGUACCUGCAGAAGAAGUACCGGCUAACUACGUGCCAGCAGCCGCGGUAAUACGUAGGGUACGAGCGUUGUCCGGAAUUAUUGGGCGUAAAGAGCUCGUAGGUGGUUGGUCACGUCUGCUGUGGAAACGCAACGCUUAACGUUGCGCGUGCAGUGGGUACGGGCUGACUAGAGUGCAGUAGGGGAGUCUGGAAUUCCUGGUGUAGCGGUGAAAUGCGCAGAUAUCAGGAGGAACACCGGUGGCGAAGGCGGGACUCUGGGCUGUAACUGACACUGAGGAGCGAAAGCAUGGGGAGCGAACAGGAUUAGAUACCCUGGUAGUCCAUGCCGUAAACGUUGGGCACUAGGUGUGGGGGACAUUCCACGUUCUCCGCGCCGUAGCUAACGCAUUAAGUGCCCCGCCUGGG